RNAcentral lists this ribosomal RNA (253 nucleotides) under uncultured bacterium. Its description in RNAcentral is "partial 16S ribosomal RNA". It matches the Rfam family "Bacterial small subunit ribosomal RNA", at positions 524 to 776 of the family's 1533-position model. The record is from RNAcentral.
UACGUAGGGUGCGAGCGUUAAUCGGAAUUACUGGGCGUAAAGUGUGCGCAGGCGGCCAUGCAAGUCGAGUGUGAAAGCCCCGGGCUUAACUUGGGAAUUGCGCUCGAAACUACGUGGCUGGAGUGUGGCAGAGGAAGGUGGAAUUCCACGUGUAGCGGUGAAAUGCGUAGAGAUGUGGAGGAACACCAAUGGCGAAGGCAGCCUUCUGGGCCAACACUGACGCUCAUGCACGAAAGCGUGGGGAUCAAACAGG